RNAcentral lists this ribosomal RNA (456 nucleotides) under uncultured organism. RNAcentral's name for it is "partial 16S ribosomal RNA". It matches the Rfam family "Bacterial small subunit ribosomal RNA", at positions 332 to 797 of the family's 1533-position model. The record is from RNAcentral.
UACACUCCUGCGGGAGGCAGCAGUGGGGAAUAUUGCACAAUGGGCGCAAGCCUGAUGCAGCGACGCCGCGUGGGGGAUGAAGGCCUUCGGGUUGUAAACUCCUUUCGCUAGGGACGAAGCUUUUUUGUGACGGUACCUAGAUAAGAAGCACCGGCUAACUACGUGCCAGCAGCCGCGGUAAUACGUAGGGUGCGAGCGUUGUCCGGAAUUACUGGGCGUAAAGGGCUCGUAGGUGGUUUGUCGCGUCGUCUGUGAAAUUCUGGGGCUUAACUCCGGGCGUGCAGGCGAUACGGGCAUAACUUGAGUGCUGUAGGGGUAACUGGAAUUCCUGGUGUAGCGGUGAAAUGCGCAGAUAUCAGGAGGAACACCGAUGGCGAAGGCAGGUUACUGGGCAGUUACUGACGCUGAGGAGCGAAAGCAUGGGUAGCGAACAGGAUUAGAAACCCGAGUAGUCCC